UCAAUAUACGACCAGGGGUUUCACUAGACCCAGGCUUUCGCGGAUCUAGUCCUGGAUGUUUUUUGAUCAGCACCUAGUUUUCUGCGAGCUGAUAUUAACACAGCGAUGGAAUCAACAUUUGCAAGGCGAGCAAACAAGUUCUUCUUGAAUCGUGACUUCUUUUUGCGCUGUGUAUUGUCAUAUAUCGUAAGAGAAAAAAAGCAACCGGGGCUGUCAAAACAAGCAACAUUGGAGCUGCACCCGAAGCCCCCCAAACCAACGCAUUUUUACGCACACGUGUACCAUUUAGGAGAAUAUUUAAGAAAAUUGUAACGGAGGAGCUUUGGGCAGGCUACUCCUUGAAGGGCAGGAUGCAGAAUGCUGUCGCACUAGCAGAUGGAGCAAGAUGUUGAGGAGGAGAGCACAGAUGAAAAACCAGCACCUGAAUACAUUUUCCUUUUUUUAGCAGUACCAACUUUAGUGUUGUAGGAUUCUUUAGGUGUUGUUUAAAUAAAUUGCUCAAGCAGUACCAACAAAGUUCAGUGAUUCAAGUCUUUAUUCACUGAGGUCAGGGGAGGUUCCAAUACAUUGUAUACAAACCAUACAUGCAGAGGACUCCAAAUCAGUAGCUAUAGUUUAACAUCCUUUCUCAUACCAUUUCUAGACAUUUGUUAUAACAUGAUUGGUUCAAAAUAUUUUGUAUACAUGAUUGUGACACCAAAAGAGAA
Long non-coding RNA from Esox lucius (northern pike), 707 nucleotides. RefSeq lists it as uncharacterized. Lineage: Eukaryota; Metazoa; Chordata; Actinopteri; Esociformes; Esocidae. The record is from RefSeq and is a predicted model, not a curated record. The transcript has 3 exons.